Molecule: ribosomal RNA, 509 nt
Filed under: uncultured bacterium
Lineage: Bacteria
Description: partial 16S ribosomal RNA
Rfam family: Bacterial small subunit ribosomal RNA
Source: RNAcentral
GACGAACGCUGGCGGCGUGCUUAACACAUGCAAGUGGAGCGACGAAACCGGGCUUGCCCGGUGGCAGAGCCGCGAACGGGUGAGUAACACGUGGGUACCCUGCCCCGAUGAUUGGGACAACUCCGGGAAACCGGAGCUAAUACCAAAUGUGUUCACAUUCCUGAAGGGGCGUGAGGAAAGGAAGCUUCGGCCUCCGCAUCGGGAUGGGCCCGCGGCCCAUUAGCUUGUUGGUGGGGUAACGGCCUACCAAGGCGACGAUGGGUAGCUGGUCUGAGAGGACGAUCAGCCACACUGGGACUGAGACACGGCCCAGACUCCUACGGGAGGCAGCAGUGGGGAAUCUUGCGCAAUGCGCGAAAGCGUGACGCAGCAACGCCGCGUGCGGGAAGACGGCCUUCGGGUUGUAAACCGCUUUCAGUUGGGACGAAGCUUCGCCGGUGAAUAGCCGGCUGGAGUGACGGUACCUUCACAAGAAGCACCAGCUAACUACGUGCCAGCAGCCGCCGUAA